AGCUCCAAUAGCGUAUAUUAAAGUUGUUGCAGUUAAAAAGCUCGUAGUUGAAUUCAAAUCAUGCGGUCUUGGUUCGAGUACAUUCUCGUAACUAAGUCUGUGUGUUUUGAAGUUGUGCACAUUUCUGAUGCUUUUAAACGAGUGUCAUUAAUGGCCAACGUGUUUACUUUGAAAAAAUCAGAGUGCUCCAAGCAGGCGUUUGCUUGCAUACUGUUGCAUGGAAUAAUGAAAUAGGACCUCGGUUCUAUUUUGUUGGUUUUCGGAACUGAAGUAAUGAUUAAAAGGGACAGACGGGGGCAUUUGUAUGCUUGGGGGAGAGGUGAAAUUCUGAGAUCCCAGGCAGACAAACAACUGCGAAAGCAUUUGCCAAGAAUGUUUUCAUUAAUCAAGAACGAAAGUA
This 400-nucleotide ribosomal RNA is filed under the name phytoplankton environmental sample. Its description in RNAcentral is "partial small subunit ribosomal RNA". It matches the Rfam family "Eukaryotic small subunit ribosomal RNA", at positions 587 to 991 of the family's 1831-position model. The record is from RNAcentral.